RNAcentral lists this long non-coding RNA (1315 nucleotides) under Cyanistes caeruleus (blue tit). RNAcentral's name for it is "lncRNA (ENSCCEG00000000772.1)". Lineage: Eukaryota; Metazoa; Chordata; Aves; Passeriformes; Paridae. The record is from RNAcentral.
CUUUGUAGCUGCUCUGUUAAUUUAUAUUUAUUCAUCUACCUUGUUUUUGUUUGUUCUUCUCCUAGCCACUGUUGAGGACCCAUGGGGAUUGUAAAACCUUGUGAGAAAACAUUGCUUUUCACUGGCAAAGAAAUUCAGAAAUGAAAGUGCAGAAGCUUCUGUACCUAAUGCCAUGUGGAAGGAAAAGAUGCUCUCACAGCUGGUGGAUUGUAUAGGAAGAAUCUCUGAGACUGGUGGAACUGUCGCUACUCAAAGCUGUGGGGUGAAGAGGGAAGGGGACUGGGGAAAAAGGUGCUUGAAAUUACUGAACUGCAGCACUUGCCAGCACUAAACUAGAGGCCUGUAAGGAAUGGGUGGCUGUAUUUCAGAGCUGGAGCCAGUACAGCUGCUUUCUACCUUUCAGAAGUGCAUGAAUUGUGGCUUAGCUUUUGGAGUUCAGACACAGAAUUACAGAAUAACAUUUGCAAGAGGAGAGUUUGGGGAUAUGACAAGAUGCUCUGCUAUUACAUUUGUAAGGAAAUCUUAAAGGACCAUAUCAUUUUCAAGUGCUUGUGAAGGCAGUCUGAUAGUAAGUGUCAAUUGUUUUACAUGGGCUUUAUGGUGUUCAGCAGACUACCUGGCUGCCUAUAAAGACAGUACUAAAUAUAUUGUGUAAAUUCACCAUCUUUCUCUCCUAAUCACAUUGUGAACAGAGGUUUGUUUUGAAUCCAUUUUAUGAGCAUGCAUGAGUUUUAUAUCAGUAUUAUGUUAAGAGCACUGAAUACCUGGUGUUUCAAUGGUAUUUCUGGGAUACUGUGGGCUUUGAAGAUAAGGAUGGAGACCAUGAAUCUAAACUGAUAGCUUUAGGCAAGCAAUAUACUGUUUCAAGAACAUGGAGUCAUGCUUCAGUGCUCUGGGCCAGAUGGCGAUUGCAGAGUCUGAAAGAUUUCCUUCCUGCUUAUUCUUCUGUAUUCCAAAGUAGAUGGUAUAAAUGUAUGAAAUACUAAGGGAUUGCUUGUCAAGAUAAACCAGUUUUUUCUAACCAGCUGAUAUUAGAAAAAAGUUAAGUUCAUGAAAUUCUAGUCAACAAGUCCACACUGAGAUUGUUUCACAGUAUUUUCUUGCCAGAGAGCACAUCAUAUUUUACUCCAGGUUUGGUUCAACUCUCCUCAUGAGUUGAAUAGGAUCAAAGUUUGAGUUACAGAGGUGUUGAUGAUUUGGUCAGAUACAGUGAUGGACAGCAGCACUGUAUACCUAACACUUAAAUGCAUGAUCUGCAGGUUUUCCCUUGUAGCUCCUUAUGAAUUCUGACUAAGGCUGAAAAGAUAGAAGGUUG